RNAcentral lists this long non-coding RNA (235 nucleotides) under Capsicum annuum. Its description in RNAcentral is "long non-coding RNA (CANN_LNC012935)". Lineage: Eukaryota; Viridiplantae; Streptophyta; Magnoliopsida; Solanales; Solanaceae. The record is from RNAcentral.
UAGACUCACCCAAAUCACUUGAAUUCCAACGACCUUCCAUGAAAAUCAACGAACCUGGAGAAAUAGGGGCCAUGCAAGUCCUCAUCCAUUCAAUAUAUAAUGUCUUGUUUGAUCACUUAAAAUUAAUUUAAAGUUGUCAUGUGAGUUGGGUUGACCGAUUAGACUAGUCCAAAAGCAGCCCGAAUCGAACCCAACCCGAAACAGAUAAGGUUGUCGGGUUUGGUGGUCAAUUAGG